Gossypium arboreum is the source of this 145-nucleotide microRNA precursor. It matches the Rfam family "MIR7502 microRNA precursor family". The record is from Rfam. NCBI's taxonomy places the organism in Eukaryota, Viridiplantae, Streptophyta, Magnoliopsida, Malvales, Malvaceae.
UAUUAAAAAAUCCAUCUAAUUCUACUAUUAAAAAUUGACGUGGCUGACAAAAUUAUCAGACAGCCGCACGUAGUGUGCCAUAUGUACCUUAUACUGACGUAAUGAGACCAAUUUUUCAUUGAAAAAACGGAUGGAAUUGUUAACA